CUGACUGAACAAGGUUCUCCUGUGCAAGGCACCUAAUCAGGAAAGUCUCAAAUUUGCUUAAAAUACAAGGUGCAAUACCAAAUUUAUUUAUAAUCUGCCUCACCUGCUCAGAUAAAACUGUUUCUAAAGUCAGGCAAUUGCAGGAGACAAGCUGUAAAAUGGAACAAAUGAAAUCAAAUCAGGUAUUAAUAACAGUGGAAUGAAAUUAUAAUAAAAAAGUGUCUUUUAGCAGAGUAUAAUUUCUGCUUUACAGAAAAUGCAGAUAAAGUAAAGUGACACACAAAAAAAGUAGUACAAAGUGGGAAGAAGUGAGAGGGACAAAGAAGAAGAGAGAUGAGGGUGUCUAGGUUGUGUUAUUCCAUGAGCACCACAAGAAAGACAGCAGGACCCCAGUUGCUUGAAGAGCUUGGUGCAAUGUGGUGCUCUUCAGAGACUUCUGCUGUGAAUUUGGACAUGAAGCAGACACUCCUGUAAAAGCCAGGCAGGCUGUGCCUUUACACAAAGCUGGGACACGGAGGAAGCCAAGACGUUUCAGAAGAAAGGGCACCCCGGCAGCCUCCAGUCAAGAGCCAAGGCAGGGUCUCCUCCUGUGAAAUAAUCCCCUCUCUGGGCUUGUCUGCAACAGG
RNAcentral lists this long non-coding RNA (626 nucleotides) under Anser brachyrhynchus (Pink-footed goose). RNAcentral describes it as "lncRNA (ENSABRG00000013797.1)". The record is from RNAcentral. Lineage: Eukaryota; Metazoa; Chordata; Aves; Anseriformes; Anatidae.